UAUAUGCAUAAAUAUGCAUGUAUACAUAUUCUGAUAAAAUACACACUUUUUUACACCUUGACUUUUAGAUAUUGUCCUCUGUUAUUCAACCUCUCCUUAUGUAAUGUGUCUACAAAGACUAACACCAUAAAGGUGAGAUGGGGAAAUGCAGGUAGUAAUAAUGAAUUAUGCUUAUGAGAAAUUUGAUCAUAAAGGGUAACAAGACUGAAACGGAUAGUGAGAGUCUUAGGGUCUAGGAAAGAUUUAUUUUUAAAGGACAUUAAAAUAUAAUGAUGGAACUAAUAAAAUAUAUAGUUAUCGGUACAUUACAUUUUAUUUUAGUAGUUAUUUCACUUUUGUCCAUAAAUAUAGAUGGAUACUUGAUUAUAAAAUGGCAUGCCAAAAAUAUAUAUGAUAUUUUCCCAAUGAGCAAAAAUGUAAGAAAAACAAAAAAAGCACAUACCAAUUCAUUGAAGCUGAUCAUUAGAACAUGCUCAAAUUCUUUACCUUCUUUACCUUUAAUAUCACAAUCAGAUGAAGUUACUGGUAACAGAGCAAGGAUCAAGGGAGGAAUUCCAAAGAUAUACCUAAAAGAAACUAAAUUCAACAGUAAAUAAGAAUGAGCUAAAUGUUAUGUCAUGUUAUAUUUGAUCGUGGUUUUACAAUGGGCUUGACCACUUAUUUUUAAUAAUUUUAAAUAUGUAUCUCAGUUCCUGAAUAAUGGGGGAAGAACUCUAUACACUGAAAUUAUAUAGCAACCAAACUAGAACUACAUUUUGAAAUUUAGGUUUCAUUCUUUUUUUUUUUUUUUUUUUUUUGUAGCAUGCAUUGAACUCAGGGGCACUCAAUCACCAAGACACAUCGCCAGCCCUAUUUUGUAUUUUAUUUGGAGGCAGGGUUUCUCUGAGUUGCUUAGUGCCUCGCUUUGGCUGAGACUAGCUUUGAACUUGAGGUCCUCCCGCCUCAGCCUCCAAACCAUUGGGAUUACAGGCGUGUGCCACCACACCGGGCUUCAUUCACUUUGUUAACAUAGAAAUUUCUGUUAGGAAGUGUAGAACAGUGUGAUGAGAUCAAAGAACACUUCUGAAAGACACUUUAGGGGUAAUGAUGACUUAGUAAAUGUGCAUUUAUGUUGAACAUCCUUGUAAGAGAAGGUAUCUGCAGGCAAAGAGGUAUGCUACAGUUUUAAAAAGUUACACAAUAUUGAAAUUUUAUGAUGUAUGGCAUGUGAUUGUUUAUGUGAAAACUUGAACAUGGUACACUUAAAGGAAUAUUCAUUGACUUCUCCCUGGAGGGCAGCACUGUGGGAGGUUCAUCUCCACAACACUACACUGUGAUCCUGUUCUUUCUUUUUAGUGAUGGAACUUAAAGGGUUUCCCUGCCCCCAAUUCUUACAGAAUUACACUUGUAUUUUGAUACUCCCUUUUCUUCUUUUCAUUAUUUUCUGAAUUUAUGGACUCAGAGAUCCACAUUUUAUUCAAACACAUCUUUUCUCAAAUUCUUGCCAUGUUAGAAAACCUAAAAAAUAAAUUUACACCCUGUGAAUUCAUUAUGUCUGUCUGUUUUAGAUAAGUCUUCCCCAUUAGAAGCAGCUAUACAAUAAAAAGAAAUGAAAUUUUUAAUGGUGUGAUUUGGGGCUGUAAAAAUACACAAACUGGAAAUUCAGUGAUUCCCAGAAACAUUAAAUUUGAUCUAUUUCUUCACCAGCCUGCCAUAGUGUCUUGUUUGCAUUGUUCCAUGAACUCUGAGUUAUGUUGAGUUUUUGAGAGUUUCACAAAAGAACUUUAAUUGUGCUUGUUCAGUGCAUGGCAUUUCCACGUGUACCUUCCUUAAUUAAGAGUUCAAUUAACCUUCCUUCCACUCAACGAACUAAUAUUGUGACAACUGCCUAAAAACUGUUAAGGAUAUCAUAAAAUUUCCAAUAACUGUAUUAUGUUAUCAUCUGUCUUAAAAAAUCAGUAACUCUCCCUAAUAAAUUAUGCUUUUAGUGACUGAUAUUUUUACAAAUACAGAAAGUAGACUAGGCAAAAGUUAAGGAAUACGCGUAAAUCAUACGUCUUAUCUUCAUGUGACAUAAAGAAAUAUAAAGAAAUAUAAUGCAAGAGUGAGACACAAAAUCUGUUCAUAGAUCUAAUACUAACUACCUGUAUGCACUGUAACUAAGAAUACAUUUAGGAGACAAGUGAUUAUGAUCCUAGUUACUUUUAAUCAAAUAUCUACCAGAUGCUGGUUGCUGGUGCCAGGGACUGUUAGGAGUAUUUAUAUAUAUUCCUGCAAGUAGCACAGAGGUAGUAGGUGUCAAGUUUGGACAUUCACCUAAGUUUACUGUCUUACCAGAAUUUGAUCAAAAAAAGCCCUAAUAUUUUGAUAACAUGUAAUUUCAGUGGCCUUCUGCAUAAAAACUGCUUCCAUGUGAUAAUAUUCAGUUCCACCUUUCUCUUCUUCUAUCAUUUCUUCCUCCUGAAGAUCUUCAAACAGUAAUUAAUUGCUCAUUAAUUACUGGCAAUUAAUCUGACCUGGUAUUGGAUAUGUACAGUUCGUAGAGAAACAUACUUUUAAUUUCUCUUUUCAUUUCCAGGUAUCCUAAAGUUAUACUUUUGGAGAAAUAGACAAAGAAGGAAAAAUUAUAAGGCACAUAAUUUAGAAUGAACUUUAAGGAGACUAUAGUAAAAUAAUUAAAUGCUAGAGUGAAAAUGAGAUAUGUUUAUCAUUAUACUUAAAUGUUACUUCAGAGGCCAAUAUUUUAUAUAUUAAAAAUGAGGUGUUUUAUUUUCCAUAAGCACCGUCUUCUUCACCCCAAUUUUCAGUUAUAACUACUCCCAAAACUCAUAUCAACCUACUAUUUCAUUGGAUGGCAUUUUAUCAAUUCUUUCCAAUGGUGGUUGGAUGGAAAGUUCAGUCUUUGGGAUGCUACAACUAAUUUCUCAAUGCUAAAACAUAAUUUAUCUUGCCUGUAAAGAGUCUUCUGUUACCAUAGUUGUUGUGGAAAAGCUAGCCCCACACACUAGGACAAUAUAAAGCAUGAGGCUUUGGAAACACAGAGACCUGGGACUUCUGUCCUCAUAGGAUAGUGGGUUGUGUUACUGAGUGAAUGGCUUCAUCUACCUGAUUUUUAAAUGAAAACAUUAGACUAAAUGAUCUCUUAAAUCUUUUUCAGCUCUUAAGCCCCUUCAUUCUGUCUUACCUGGCCAUUCAAAUAGAGAAACUCUUCAGGUUUAAAAUUGUUUUCAGGACAAUUCUGCAAAACUAUCCCAGGCCUGAGACCCACAUCUCAAUGAUUCUCAGCUCUCUCAAGAUCUGGUUUGUUUUACAACGGAAAUCUUUUCUUCCAUAUUACAUACUUAAGUGAUAUAUGAAGAUUGUUUGGCUUGAGGGGACUUUGAACAGUGUCACAAUGGGAAAGAGACUCAGCUUUAUUUUAUUUUGUUUGCAUUUGUUUCAUACUAUAUAGGCCUCUGCCCUUCCCCCUCCCCCUGAACUUUUCAUUGGAUUACAGAAAAGACAAACCCUAAGGAACAAUGCAAGGCAAGUGUGGGCUUGUGGAAUUGUCUUUAAAUCUCCUGAAGGGACUGAAAUUGGAGAAUUUGUUUUCAGUAGGGAAUUUGGUUAAACAGAAUGAUAGCGGUUUAAGAAUUCUUGUUGGUUUUUAAUUUAAGCCAAAUAAUACAUUCAAUUCUUAGCUGCUCAAGUUAUGGGGUCAAAGUGAAGAUAAAUAAAUUGUUUCUACAGCCCUCCAAAUCCAGUCUUUUAUCAGAAUUCAAGAACAAUAGUGUUUAUUGAAUGCCUAUUACACAAACCUCUUUUCACUGGGAAUAUAAUUCCAAAAUCAUUUCAUGAAGUACUUAGAAAUUAUUUACAUUUUUCUGGGUGCAGUGGCACAGGCCUGUAAUUCAGAAGCUUGGGAGGCUGAGGCAGGAGGAUCACAAUUUCAAAGCCAGCCUCAGCAAAAGUAAGAUGCUAAGCAACUCAGUGAGAUCCUGUCUCUGAACAAAAUACAAAAUAGGGCUGGGAUAUGGCUCAAUGGUCUAGAGCCUCUGAGUUCAAUUCUUGGUCCAACCCUCCCAGAAAAAGAAAUCAUUUACAUUUUACAGGUGUAGAAUCUAGGGCCCAUAGAACGUUUUUCCAAUAUAGAAUGUGCCUAGGAAGAGCCAAGAUUCAAAUCUGUUUUGUUCAGGUUAAGGAAUCUAGAAACUCAGCUUUUAGCUACUGUGGUACCCCACUUCCUAUAAAAAUGUAUACGUGGGUUUAAGAGGAAGGCAAAAGAACUCAUUUCCUUUUCUGCAAAAACUUCACCAAGGUAAUUUCUGGCCAAGCUCAGAAACUGUAUCAUAUACCCUUAUUUCAAAAAAAAACACUAAAUAUUUGCUUUUAUUUGAGUAGGUAAUGUGAGUGAGACUAGGAGAAAAAAAGAUCUCAACACAUAAAUAUGAUUAGACAUCUGAGUUGGUCCUACAAAAUAAUCUUUUCUAUUUUUAAGUUAUUUAAACACUGAUAUGGUGCAAUUUGUAAAUUCUCUUUGUACCUAUUCUAAUCAUUUUGGUUUUCUGCUUUUAUUACUAUUCCAUUGUUUUCAGUCCUCAAAUAUGAAGAAUUCACCCAAAUCCAAUUGCAUAGUUGAGGAUCACAUAGUGAGUCAUCAUCUACUUAGAAACUGAGCUGUUUCCAUGUUUUCUUUGCAAUGCCCUUGGUUCUAAUGCAAUUACUUCUUUCUGGUUCUCCUCCUCAUUCUAACACAUCUUGGGGGGUUUCUUAUUUUUUUUUCUUGGUACUGAGGUUUGAACCCAGGAUUGCUUCACCAUUGAGCUACAUCUCCAGUCCUUUUUAUUUUUAUUUUUUUGAGACAGGGCCUCCUUAAGUUGCUUAGGAUGGCCUUGAACAUGCAGUCCUCCUGCUUCAGCCUUUCAAAUGGCUGGAAUCACAGGUGGGCAUCACCACACUGGGCUUAUCUACUUCACCUCUCAAAAGAAAGAGCAAAGAAAGAGAUGUAAACGGUAUUCCUAUGUACAGUCUUGGAGUUUGAACUUCUCAUAAAAUCACUUGGAACCAAGAUGUAGAAAACCACUCAAUAUAAUAAUUACAUUAUAACACAUUAGAAGUUUAGAAUUUUAAUAUUUUGUUUGCUAUUAGUAGUUUAUGAUGCAUUAAUAUAGAUGUACAUCCAAAAAUAAAGUUUCCUUACUAAAAGUAUACACCCUGAGUUUCUUUUGUCUUUUUAUGUCUCUACUUUUGAUAAGAGGUAAUUCAAGGAUUAGAAUCAGGAGAGAACCAGAAAGAAGUAAUUGCAGGUGAAACCAAGGGCAUUGCAUAGAAAACACAGAUACAGCUCCAUUUCUAAUUCUACAUUUAAACUUCUGGAGCACUUUUCUAACAGAUCCAUAAUUGUCUUUGAUAUUAUUUCAUGCUCCUCCUCCCCCCCCCUUUUUUUUGUUACUGAGCUAUUUCCCCUAGUUAUGUCAAUUCUAGGUGUUUUAAUAUCUAUGAGAUGGGAAAUGAAUCUUGAUCUAACAGAAUAGUCACGGAAGUACACAGAGCAUCAAAAGGAAGAGCAGAAAGCUGGCUCCCUAUUCUUCCACCUUCUCCCACAGGUCUUCUAGCUUAAUGAAGUGCUUAUAGUAAAACAUGCCAAUUUCCCUAAGUAGAUCCUCUCCCCUCACAUACCUUUCUCCUCUGUUUAAUUCCAGUAUUUUUAAUUUAUUUAUGUUAGCCCCUUACAUUAGCCACAUGGCUGCCAAAUGGGAUCCAACCCACGUUAAUUCUGUCCUUCUCCGUUUUAAGUCCUUUUUCGGCGGAAAUAAAAUCUAGCAGAUAUCAUCAGGGGUUUACAAUUUAGAAGGAAAUCUAUUUAAUCCUGCCUCCAUCAAGGAUCGAGCAUAUAGGACAAAGCAACAUCUGGCUAUUUUCAAUGCAAAUUGCAGGACAUGAGUUCCCAGCAAACAGCGCAGGGUACAGCCCCAGAUGGAAACUCCCAGCCCCACUGAGGGGGAAAAACGGGGUUUUACGGAGACCUGUCCCUUAGGGCUUAAAAGCGCGUCCCCAGGGAGCUUCGCUUUCAGUUCUCUAGGAAGUUCGGAGCUGCAAGAACCCAGCUACUCACUCGCUGAACCUAGGCUGCCUGUGGGACCUUAAGGAAAAACAAUUCUGCGGCCCCACCUAAUCGGGUUGUUUUCGAUCACAUCCUCUAUGACUGUGGCAAUCAAUAUGAGUCAGAGUUCAUACAAUCCCUCUUAUCCUCCUCAUCACCGUCAUCAUCAUCACUAUCAUCAGGAUGAAAUCAUGACUACUAUAUCUUAAAAAAUCAAGACUUCCAUAUUCUAUAGAAAAUUUCAAUGUAAAUAAUAGCUUUUUAUUUGUUAGUUUAUUUUUUUGGAUUACUAAUAUAAAAACCAUAUUUUAUUCAGCCACCAGAGGGAGCUCCCAAAUCUAUGGAUUCUAAAAGAAAAUAAGGCUGAAAUACAUUUGGAAAAGUUAUAUUAUGGUUGACAAUCAAACAUUCAAUCAGCUGAAACUCAUGGUGUUAUUGGCUCAUCUGACAGGUCUUCUGUACAUUGAGUGCCUAAAAUCCUGCCCUUCUAUAUUGCCACAUUAUUUUAAUGCAGUUCUUAAAUAAUAGUCUUCUUCUUCUUCUUCUUCUUCUUCUUCUUCUUCUUCUUCUUCUUCUUCUUCUUCUUCUUCUUCUUCUUCUUUUUUUAGUUUUGGAUAGUAUUGACUAACUUCCUUGUUUUGAAUGUAUAAUUAUAUGUUAUAUGUCUCCUACUACUUCUCUUUUUGGUCCCAAAUUUUCUUAAAUUGUACCUUUACAUUGUCAAACUUACAGUACUUUACCGUAAAUUUAGUGCUUACUGUGUAUCACGCCUUCUCCUUCCUUAUUCCUUUGUUUGGAUUCUUACUGACUAGAUUUCAUUGUCAAAUUUUAUUUUUUAUUUAUUUUUAUUUAUUUACUUAUUUAUUUAUUUACCAGGGGUUGAACCCAGGUGCACUUGACCACUGAGCCACGUCCUCAGCCCUUCCUACUUUAGUUUUUUUUUUUUUUUUAUUUUGAGACAGGGCCUCCUUAAGUUGCUAAGGUUGGCCUUGAAGCUGCUGGGAUUCCAGGUGUGUGCCACCACAUCCAGCUAAUAGCUAAUUAUUAUUAUUAUUAUUAUUAUUACUAUUAUUGUUUUUUAGUUUGUUUUUUUAAAGAAACGUUGUGAUCUGGAAUCCUUGACGUUUUCACUUUUGGGGAUGACUGCUUGUUGCCUCACCUCUGUUUGACAAUGAAGCUAGUUAUGAUAUUGUCAGGUCAUGUUUCCUCUCCCUCAUUUAUGAUUUGAUUUUAUUCCAAGAAGAAUGGGGUGUUUCAAUUUUUUUUUUCUACAAAUACUAUGUGGGUGUGGGAUGGGGAAGGAAAUUAUCCAACUAUUUCCUGAAGGCAGAGCAAGUUCCUACAGACCUGACUCUCCCAUUACGAUGGGUCCUGGAUCUCCCAGAACAAGCCUCCUUUCGGAUGCCAAGCAUCUUAAAAGUGAGCCUCUCAGCUACAUUUCCUUGGAGCUUGCCAGGACUUUCCUCUCCUAGCUUCAUUGAAAUAUAAUUGGUAUAUUAAAAAAGAUGCACAUUUUAUAAUUCGGGCAUAUGCAUACAUCUGUGACACUAUCACCACAAUCAAGGAAAUACACAUAUCCAUCAUCUCUGAAAGUUUACUAGACCCCCAGCACCCCUCCCCACCAGAUACACACACGUGUGUGUAUGUGUGUGUGUGUGUGUGUUUGUGAGUGUGAAGAAUGCUUAUCUUAGUGGGACAAUUCCUGGGAGGGACAGUGCCUAAAAGAAUUUUGCGUUUACUUAUUGCCUUUGUACUCUACUUUAAAGUGUCCCAAAGUUUUCUCACACAGACAUGUAAUAAACCCCAUUUUGUAGCUGUGGAAAUUGAUGAGCACAGAGGUUAAGCAAAGUACCCAAGGCCAUGGUGCAGAUGAGUGAGAGAACUGGGAGAGGAUCCAGGACUCUGAACUGCUGGGUUGACAUACCAUCUUCCACGGCUUCACAGUGCUGUGAUCUGGCCUACUUCUACCCAUCACACUCAGUCAGAAUCAGCUAUUCUAAUUCCCAUUUUUUAUUUGAAAUCAAUGGUAUUUCACCACAGUUACUAGAAUAUUGUCUCAACAGAAAACUGAAUUAUAAAUAAUGAAUAGAGGUGAAAUAGAUUCCUUUAAAGUCAGUGUUGAUCUAUUCAUUCUUCUUCACUUUCUUUAACCUCUUAUUUUCUCCAGGCUACUUAUAAACAUAUCCAGGUUGCUAACAAGAAGUUUUAAUAAAGAUACUGCCUGAAUAUCAAUAUUUUGGACAAAUAAAAAAGAUAUUCUAUUUGAUGUUGGUAUAAAUGUAUUUUAACAAGAUAUUUAUUUCUCUGUUGAUAAUUAAAAAGCUAUUUAUAAAUAAAGUAAAUAAAUAAAAUCAUCA
This is a long non-coding RNA of Marmota monax (woodchuck), 8418 nucleotides long. RefSeq lists it as uncharacterized. The record is from RefSeq and is a predicted model, not a curated record. Lineage: Eukaryota; Metazoa; Chordata; Mammalia; Rodentia; Sciuridae. The transcript has 3 exons.